CGUAUAAUAUGUAUGCCUGCCCGGUGACCAUGAGUUUAACGGCCGCGGUAUUCUGACCGCGCAAAGGUAGCGUAAUCACUUGUCUUCUAAAUAAAGACUAGUAUGAACGGCCACACGAAGACUUGACUGUCUCCCUAGUCCAAUCAGUGAAACUAAUCUCCUCGUGCAGAAGCGAGAAUACACCCAUUAGACGAGAAGACCCUAUGGAGCUUUAAACUCAAUAUUAAUUAUAUUUAACUCUUCUCUAAGGAACUAACAACUUUUUAAACUUAAUAUUAGUUUUAGGUUGGGGCGACCAUGGAGAAAAAAAUAUCCUCCCUGAUGAUUUUCUAACCAAGAGCUACAGCUCUAAGUAUUAAGACCCUUAACUCCCAUUGACCCAUUUUAUGAUCAACGAACCAAGUUACCCUAGGGAUAACAGCGCAAUCCAUUUCAAGAGUUCCUAUCGACAAAUGGGUUUACGACCUCGAUGUUGGAUCAGGGCAUCCUAGUGGUGCAACCGCUACUAACGGUUCGUUUGUUCAACGAUUAAAGCCCUACGUGAUCUGAGUUCAGACCGG
This 560-nucleotide ribosomal RNA is filed under the name Xenophrys mangshanensis (Mangshan horned toad). Its description in RNAcentral is "partial 16S ribosomal RNA". It matches the Rfam family "Bacterial large subunit ribosomal RNA", at positions 1842 to 2619 of the family's 2925-position model. Lineage: Eukaryota; Metazoa; Chordata; Amphibia; Anura; Megophryidae. The record is from RNAcentral.